GGGCUGAUAGAUCAGCGGUAGAUCGCUUGCUUUGCAAGCAAGAUGUCGCGAGUUCAAAUCUCGCUCAGUCCA
This 72-nucleotide transfer RNA is filed under the name Candidatus Methanomethylophilaceae archaeon. Its description in RNAcentral is "tRNA-Ala". It matches the Rfam family "tRNA". Rfam says of the family: Transfer RNA (tRNA) molecules are approximately 80 nucleotides in length. Their secondary structure includes four short double-helical elements and three loops (D, anti-codon, and T loops). Lineage: Archaea; Methanobacteriati; Thermoplasmatota; Thermoplasmata; Methanomassiliicoccales; Methanomethylophilaceae. The record is from RNAcentral.